This 333-nucleotide unclassified non-coding RNA is filed under the name Hevea brasiliensis (rubber tree). Lineage: Eukaryota; Viridiplantae; Streptophyta; Magnoliopsida; Malpighiales; Euphorbiaceae. The record is from RNAcentral.
GCUUCCCAACUAGUACUUCGUAUAUGCCUAGUGUGCUCCCAUGUGUAAAAGUUGGAUGCAAAGAGUGCCUGUUCCUUAUGCUGUUGUUCCUCCACUUGACAAUACCAUUAGAAAUAAGCCAAACUCCAUUUGGCUUGGAGCCCUCUUUGUAAAGCAGCGCACCACGUGGUUUCAUUGUUCCUUUGGUGGAACCUUCAAGUGGUUCACGUACUGUAGGAGGAAGGGCCCCUAACAAAGGAUGGAUGCUAAUCAGAUCAGUUAUUUUGGGAAUCUUUACUAAAGGAGGAUUCCUUAGAAGCCUUUUCAAGUCAGUCUGGACAGCAUCAUGAAGAU